Molecule: ribosomal RNA, 2437 nt
Filed under: Escherichia coli
Lineage: Bacteria; Pseudomonadati; Pseudomonadota; Gammaproteobacteria; Enterobacterales; Enterobacteriaceae
Description: bacterial LSU rRNA
Rfam family: Bacterial large subunit ribosomal RNA
Source: RNAcentral
GGGUUGUGAGGUUAAGCGACUAAGCGUACACGGUGGAUGCCCUGGCAGUCAGAGGCGAUGAAGGACGUGCUAAUCUGCGAUAAGCGUCGGUGAGGUGAUAUGAACCGUUAUAACCGGCGAUUUCCGAAUGGGGAAACCCAGUGUGUUUCGACACACUAUCAUUAACUGAAUCCAUAGGUUAAUGAGGCGAACCGGGGGAACUGAAACAUCUAAGUACCCCGAGGAAAAGAAAUCAACCGAGAUUCCCCCAGUAGCGGCGAGCGAACGGGGAGGAGCCCAGAGCCUGAAUCAGUGUGUGUGUUAGUGGAAGCGUCUGGAAAGGCGUGCGAUACAGGGUGACAGCCCCGUACACAAAAAUGCACAUAUUGUGAGCUCGAUGAGUAGGGCGGGACACGUGGUAUCCUGUCUGAAUAUGGGGGGACCAUCCUCCAAGGCUAAAUACUCCUGACUGACCGAUAGUGAACCAGUACCGUGAGGGAAAGGCGAAAAGAACCCCGGCGAGGGGAGUGAAAAAGAACCUGAAACCGUGUACGUACAAGCAGUGGGAGCCUCUUAAUGGGGUGACUGCGUACCUUUUGUAUAAUGGGUCAGCGACUUAUAUUCUGUAGCAAGGUUAACCGAAUAGGGGAGCCGAAGGGAAACCGAGUCUUAACUGGGCGUUAAGUUGCAGGGUAUAGACCCGAAACCCGGUGAUCUAGCCAUGGGCAGGUUGAAGGUUGGGUAACACUAACUGGAGGACCGAACCGACUAAUGUUGAAAAAUUAGCGGAUGACUUGUGGCUGGGGGUGAAAGGCCAAUCAAACCGGGAGAUAGCUGGUUCUCCCCGAAAGCUAUUUAGGUAGCGCCUCGUGAAUUCAUCUCCGGGGGUAGAGCACUGUUUCGGCAAGGGGGUCAUCCCGACUUACCAACCCGAUGCAAACUGCGAAUACCGGAGAAUGUUAUCACGGGAGACACACGGCGGGUGCUAACGUCCGUCGUGAAGAGGGAAACAACCCAGACCGCCAGCUAAGGUCCCAAAGUCAUGGUUAAGUGGGAAACGAUGUGGGAAGGCCCAGACAGCCAGGAUGUUGGCUUAGAAGCAGCCAUCAUUUAAAGAAAGCGUAAUAGCUCACUGGUCGAGUCGGCCUGCGCGGAAGAUGUAACGGGGCUAAACCAUGCACCGAAGCUGCGGCAGCGACACUAUGUGUUGUUGGGUAGGGGAGCGUUCUGUAAGCCUGUGAAGGUGGCCUGUGAGGGUUGCUGGAGGUAUCAGAAGUGCGAAUGCUGACAUAAGUAACGAUAAAGCGGGUGAAAAGCCCGCUCGCCGGAAGACCAAGGGUUCCUGUCCAACGUUAAUCGGGGCAGGGUGAGUCGACCCCUAAGGCGAGGCCGAAAGGCGUAGUCGAUGGGAAACAGGUUAAUAUUCCUGUACUUGGUGUUACUGCGAAGGGGGGACGGAGAAGGCUAUGUUGGCCGGGCGACGGUUGUCCCGGUUUAAGCGUGUAGGCUGGUUUUCCAGGCAAAUCCGGAAAACCAAGGCUGAGGCGUGAUGACGAGGCACUACGGUGCUGAAGCGACAAAUGCCCUGCUUCCAGGAAAAGCCUCUAAGCAUCAGGUAACAUCAAAUCGUACCCAAAACCGACACAGGUGGUCAGGUAGAGAAUACCAAGGCGCUUGAGAGAACUCGGGUGAAGGAACUAGGCAAAAUGGUGCCGUAACUUCGGGAGAAGGCACGCUGAUAUGUAGGUGAAGCGACUUGCUCGUGGAGCUGAAAUCAGUCGAAGAUACCAGCUGGCUGCAACUGUUUAUUAAAAACACAGCACUGUGCAAACACGAAAGUGGACGUAUACGGUGUGACGCCUGCCCGGUGCCGGAAGGUUAAUUGAUGGGGUUAGCGGUAACGCGAAGCUCUUGAUCGAAGCCCCGGUAAACGGCGGCCGUAACUAUAACGGUCCUAAGGUAGCGAAAUUCCUUGUCGGGUAAGUUCCGACCUGCACGAAUGGCGUAAUGAUGGCCAGGCUGUCUCCACCCGAGACUCAGUGAAAUUGAACUCGCUGUGAAGAUGCAGUGUACCCGCGGCAAGACGGAAAGACCCCGUGAACCUUUACUAUAGCUUGACACUGAACAUUGAGCCUUGAUGUGUAGGAUAGGUGGGAGGCUUUGAAGUGUGGACGCCAGUCUGCAUGGAGCCGACCUUGAAAUACCACCCUUUAAUGUUUGAUGUUCUAACGUUGGCCCGUAAUCCGGGUUGCGGACAGUGUCUGGUGGGUAGUUUGACUGGGGCGGUCUCCUCCUAAAGAGUAACGGAGGAGCACGAAGGUUGGCUAAUCCUGGUCGGACAUCAGGAGGUUAGUGCAAUGGCAUAAGCCAGCUUGACUGCGAGCGUGACGGCGCGAGCAGGUGCGAAAGCAGGUCAUAGUGAUCCGGUGGUUCUGAAUGGAAGGGCCAUCGCUCAACG